This 468-nucleotide ribosomal RNA is filed under the name uncultured bacterium. RNAcentral's name for it is "partial 16S ribosomal RNA". It matches the Rfam family "Bacterial small subunit ribosomal RNA", at positions 28 to 507 of the family's 1533-position model. The record is from RNAcentral.
GACGAACGCUGGCGGCGUGCUUAACACAUGCAAGUCGAACGGAAAGGCCCUGCUUUUGUGGGGUGCUCGAGUGGCGAACGGGUGAGUAACACGUGAGUAACCUGCCCUUGACUUUGGGAUAACUUCAGGAAACUGGGGCUAACACCGGAUAGGAGCUCCUGCUGCAUGGUGGGGGUUGGAAAGUUUCGGCGGUUGGGGAUGGACUCGCGGCUUAUCAGCUUGUUGGUGGGGUAGUGGCUUACCAAGGCUUUGACGGGUAGCCGGCCUGAGAGGGUGACCGGCCACAUUGGGACUGAGAUACGGCCCAGAUUCCUACGGGAGGCAGCAGUGGGGAAUAUUGCACAAUGGGCGGAAGCCUGAUGCAGCAACGCCGCGUGCGGGAUGACGGCCUUCGGGUUGUAAACCGCUUUCGCCUGUGACGAAGCGUGAGUGGCGGUAAUGGGUAAAGAAGCACCGGCUAACUACGUG